CCUACGGGAGGCAGCAGUGGGGAAUAUUGGACAAUGGGCGAAAGCCUGAUCCAGCAAUGCCGCGUGAGUGAUGAAGGCCUUAGGGUUGUAAAGCUCUUUUACCAGGGAUGAUAAUGACAGUACCUGGAGAAUAAGCUCCGGCUAACUCCGUGCCAGCAGCCGCGGUAAUACGGAGGGAGCUAGCGUUGUUCGGAAUUACUGGGCGUAAAGCGUACGUAGGCGGUUAUUCAAGUCAGAGGUGAAAGCCCGGGGCUCAACCCCGGAACUGCCUUUGAAACUAGAUAGCUAGAAUCUUGGAGAGGUUAGUGGAAUUCCGAGUGUAGAGGUGAAAUUCGUAGAUAUUCGGAAGAACACCAGUGGCGAAGGCGACUAACUGGACAAGUAUUGACGCUGAGGUACGAAAGCGUGGGGAGCAAACAGGAUUAGAUACCCUGGUAGUCCACGCCGUAAACGAUGAUAACUAGUUGUUCGGGCACUUGGUGCCUGAGUGACGCAGCUAACGCAUUAAGUUAUCCGCCUGGGGAGUACGGUCGCAAGAUUAAAACUUAAAGGAAUUGAACGG
Molecule: ribosomal RNA, 562 nt
Filed under: uncultured bacterium
Lineage: Bacteria
Description: bacterial SSU rRNA
Rfam family: Bacterial small subunit ribosomal RNA
Source: RNAcentral